UGGCACCUCCAUCCUUCAAGUUGCUGAAGCCCCAGAUCUCAAUGUUAACCUUGAUUUCUUUAUUUUAUUUCAUAGGCAAUCUGAACGCAAAUCCUAUUUAGACCCAGGUGAAGGUUCCUGGUGACCCAGGCUCUCACCAGCCGAUUGUCCCUUACCAUCCUCCUGAGGGUGUCUGGAGCUUCAGUGCUGUGUGCUCUUGGCCUCCACCCUUGGGGUGCCACCGACUCCCACUGUCCAGGGCUUCCAGUGGACUCUCCGAGGCACUGAUGUAGAGACUUCCCCAUUCAGUGCACCAAGAGCAGCCUCACACGGUGUGGGCUGACAUGAAGAGCUGCCAGAUCCAACAGAAAUGUGAUUGAUAACAGUAAAGCCACACUCUUCACAUGCCUGAAAUACCCCUCAUUGUCUUCUUCAGGUGGCAAGGGCUCUGGAACAGCCACAUAAAGCCCUUGAAGAUAAGGAUGGUCAAAAAAAAUAAUAUCAUAUCUGCAGAAACUCAGAUCUUGGAAAGAUUUACUAGUUGGGAAUCCAAUGUCAAUGCCAAGAAGUAGCCACCAGUUGCGAUCAAAUGUGAGCCUAUGGAUCAAGGAAUGCCUGGACACAGUAGACAAAGGUUGUUCAACUGGAUGCCUUAGGAUACAUGCUUCCAAAAACAAAGUAGCUGAAAAGAAACCAGAAUCACAGAAUAUCAGAGCGAGAGGAACAUUUCAAGGUAAUUCAGUACCUCCUCCUUUUCCACCUACAAGGGAGAUAGUGAAACAGAAGCAGGGAUGCACCUGCCUGCUGUGCCCACAAUUCAUUGGAGAUUGUUGCAGUGAAAAAUUUCAUUUAUGAUGAAGGAGAAAUAAACCCCUAUCAGCUUAAAUUCAGGCAGGUUUAUUGAAAAGGUGAAGAAGCAUCUUGCAGAAGCAAAGCAUGGCUGAGGCUUGUGGGCUCUGUCUGGGAAAUGAGCAGCCAACAGUGGCUGAUGCUGCCCCUGACUCUGGGGCUGUGUGGUCUCUUGUUCCCUGAGAGCAUCUCUUCUAUUCUUUUGCAUCUUCCCUCAGCCUGGCAGUCUCUGUGUACUCUUCAACACAUAAUUGAGCAAGGCUGUGCCAGCCCCAAUGCCACCUGGCACUUUAGGUCAAAUUAGAAAGGCAUGAAAUAAACUGGUCUUUUAUAAUACAGCUGUUGGAACAACAGUUGAAAAUAUAAUAUCUUGACUCCUGGUUUAGUGCUUUUUGCUAAACUUUCUUUUCCAAAUAUGAGCACAGACUUUGGAAUAUUAGUGUCACCUAGCAUUAUUAGCUAGUAUUCUCCUUUUGUUUCCCAAUAACAUCCCCUCCUCCUUCCCACAGAUCCACUUUCCACUCAUUUCCAUCCUGUCUUAUGCCACUCAGGGCUUACCCUUCUAAAAUGCAUCCCUGGCUCCCCUGCAUGCACACUUCUAGUUAGGUUUAGCAAUGGGGGGCACCUGAUGGAGCCUGGAAGUGAGAGGCAGGUGAGGUCUGUAUUUCUUUCCUCUCCCUCCCUGCUCUGGCACUGAGUAUCUGACAAUAGCUGCAUCUGUCUUACUUCAGUGGCCACUUUUCCACAGCCUCAAUUCUCAGUGGGUCCCAUAGCAUUAUUUACCUUUGUUCCUUUAGCUCCUACCAAGGAAGAUCCAGAGACAUUCUCCUCACCAAGGCGUUAAGAAAUGCACAGGUGAGGGGAACAGCGGCGUGCAUGUAAAGGUCCUGUGGCACCUCUCCUCUGCAGGCUGGAGGUCAUGGCGGGAGAUGCUGCAUGGAUUUGCCUUCCCUGCUGGCAGUGAGAACAAUAGGGUUCUGGAAGAUUAGAGGACAGGCCAUGGUACUCGGCCAUCUAGAAACAAGGUGGGAGGGAUUUCCUUGAGAGGCAGGGACCUGUGGUGGUUACUAAUCAUCAUGAGGUGUCUGGGAAUGUAAUGGAUGGGAAAUCUAUUAAGAAAUCAAUGUAUGUAAUAAUUAGAAAACUCUAGUUCUGAGGACAGAGACCAUAGUGGGAAUUUAUGACCUGGCAUCCAGUUCAGAUACCUAGAGCUUCUUGAUGGAGGGGAGAUUGGAUCCCUUGAGGAAGAGUGAAGCCUUCAAUGCUGCCACAAGUGUAUGCUGUAAAUCUUCCUCCAGGCCUUCCCCAGAAGGACCUGAAGCCAUUUAUGUGGGUGACCGAGGAAAGGGAAAUACUCAGAGCUUCUGUGGCUUUUUGGAUUCUGGCUCUGAAGAAUGCUAGCCUGAAGACACCUGUGGUGGCCAUGAAAAUGCACUACUUGCAUCUCCAGCUGUAGGAGGCCUAACGAAUCAACAACCCCAGCUGCUACACUCUGAAUUGAGUACUUGAUGACAUUUCCCCCAUAUCUGUACUAGCCCAUGAGGAGGAAAGCCUCAUAUCAAGUCCUCCCAGUGGAACACCCAUGAUGACUCGUGAGGAUGUCGAAGCUGUUUUCCCGUGGUAACUGUGACUUUCUUUCUUCAAAGUCUGUUUUGUUUGUGUACAUUAGCUGAUUUAUAUAAAAUAAGAGAAUAAAUGCCUAGACUCCCAUGAGUCUAUCUUUUACUGAUAAACUCUAGUUCUGAGGACAGAAGCUUGAUGGAGUCAGUAUAGUGGGAAUUUAUAACCUGGCAUCCAGUUCAGAGACUUGGAGCUUCUUGACUGAGGGGAGAUUGGGUCCCUUUGGGGAAGAAAGAA
Pongo abelii (Sumatran orangutan) is the source of this 2685-nucleotide long non-coding RNA. The record is from Ensembl. Lineage: Eukaryota; Metazoa; Chordata; Mammalia; Primates; Hominidae.